This 157-nucleotide non-coding RNA is filed under the name human gut metagenome. The record is from RNAcentral.
AUAGGUGCCUGAACAGGCUUAAUAGGGAAGACCGGUGAAAGACCGGCGCGGUCCCGCCACUGUAAUGGGGAGCAAGCUCAAGAUAUGCCACUGGAAUAGUUAUUCUGGGAAGGUUUGAGGGAAGCAAUGAUCCAAAGCCAGGAGAACUGCCUAUUUG